GUCCACGCCCUAAACGAUGUCAACUAGUUGUUCGGUGAGGAGACUCAUUGAGUAACGCAGCUAACGCGUGAAGUUGACCGCCUGGGGAGUACGGCCGCAAGGUUAAAACUCAAAGGAAUUGACGGGGACACGCACAAGCGGUGGAUGAUGUGGAUUAAUUCGAUGCAACGCGAAAAACCUUACCUACCCUUGACAUGUCAGGAAUCCUUGAGAGAUUGAGGAGUGCCCGAAAGGGAACCUGAACACAGGUGCUGCAUGGCUGUCGU
This 266-nucleotide ribosomal RNA is filed under the name uncultured bacterium. RNAcentral's name for it is "partial 16S ribosomal RNA". It matches the Rfam family "Bacterial small subunit ribosomal RNA", at positions 793 to 1055 of the family's 1533-position model. The record is from RNAcentral.